AUGGAUGAACUUAUGAAGUUGUUUGCUACUAAAAAUACUCCUCUUGAUCCCAAUGAUAUGCCUUUGUCUACUUUGAUUGAGAAUAAUAAUGAAUCUAUGGAUGUGAAUUUUGUUGGUAGGAAUAGUUUUGGAAACAAUGCUUAUAGAGGAAACUUUAAUCCUAGACCGUUCCCUAGUAAUUCCUCUAAUAAUUAUGGAAAUUCCUACAAUAAUUCUUAUGGUAAUUUUAAUAAGAUGCCCUCUGAUUUUGAGAAUAGUGUGAAAGAAUUUAUGAUCUCUCAAAAGAAUUUUAAUGCUUUGCUUGAAGAAAAAUUUCUCAAAGUAGAUGAUUUGGCUAGGAAAGUUGAUAGACUUUCGCUUGAUGUUGAUUCUCUUAAACUUAGAUCUACUCCUCCUAAGCAUGAUAUCAAUGAGUCUCUCAAAGCAAUGAGAAUUUCCAUUGAUGAGUGCAAGGAAAGAACCGCUAGAUUGUGUGCUAAGAAAGAUUGCUUUGUAAAGGCAUGUUCUUCUAGUUUCAAUAAAAAUAAUGAUGAAGAUCUUAAAGUUAUUGAUGUGUAUCCUAUUAGAUCUUUGUUUUGCAAUAUGAAUCUUAAUAAUAAUGGAACUGGAGAUGAGUCAACUUUAGUUAGAAGGCGUCCCAAUAAUUCAGAGUUUUUAGAUCUUGAUGCUAAAUUUGGUAAAAGUGGGAUUUGA
This 693-nucleotide ribosomal RNA is filed under the name Triticum aestivum (bread wheat). RNAcentral describes it as "partial small subunit ribosomal RNA". Lineage: Eukaryota; Viridiplantae; Streptophyta; Magnoliopsida; Poales; Poaceae. The record is from RNAcentral.